This 1504-nucleotide long non-coding RNA is filed under the name Monodelphis domestica (gray short-tailed opossum). RNAcentral describes it as "lncRNA (ENSMODG00000045681.1)". The record is from RNAcentral. Lineage: Eukaryota; Metazoa; Chordata; Mammalia; Didelphimorphia; Didelphidae.
AGAAGGGCUAGGCAAAUGAGGUUAAAGGACUUCCCAAGGGUUACACAGGAUCUGAGGAUAGAUUUGAACUCAGAACCUCCUGACUCUAGGUCUGAUGCUCUAUCCACUAUUCCACUUAGUUGCCUGUUACAAGUAAUUUUUUAAACCUAAAUAGAAGACUAUAAAUUUUGUCUAUUAAUUAUCACCGUGUUAUAUUGAUCUCAGUGUAUAAUUUUGUCAAGAUCUUUUUGGAUGCUAAAUGUGUCAUCUAGAGUGUUGGAUGUCCAUCCUCUCUUUGUAUCUUGUGCACAUAUGAUGAGCAUGUUAAAUAUACCUUUAUCUAAGAGGGUAGAUCAUUCCUUCUCCCUGUAAGAGUAAGAGAGGUAACCACUCAUGUGAUACUCCUUAGGUGCACAUUUGUCCAAAAUCCUCGACAGGGACUGGGAUAAAAGAGAAAUAAGGUCGAUCCUUAGAACGGUACUUGGUACAUAUUAGAAUCAUAAUAAAUGUUGAUAGAUUGAUUGAAUAUUUGAUUUUUGUCCUCAAACAUUUCAACUUGGGAAACUUGCUUGCGUGAACAAGUAAAGAACUACUUAAACUUGCUGCAAAUACAGAACAAGUACUGACCUUUAAAAGGAGAUAUAGGUGAGGUCUAAAUCCUCUGAAUCACCCAAAGAAAAGGACUACCUAAAUUAAAGAUUGUAGAAGCUGGCUGCUGGAGAGGAAAGAGCAGGGUCUGUGGAAGAGAAACAAAGAGAGAGAGGAUCUGCAGAACAAGCCUGCAUGCAGACUAAGGUAAUUAUCUGUCUGUCAAUCAAGGAGAAGUUUCCAAAUGGAAUGUUCCGAGGAGAAGGCAGUUGAGCAGACCAAGGGGAGGAACUGAUUCUGUCUCUCUCUCUGGGGUGACUGACCAGGAGACUUUGGCUCUCUGGGUUUUUCUGACAAAGGUCCCAGGAGAAAGGACAUUUGGGCCCUACUGUAAGCAAGUAACUUCAGGUAAAAAUAUAAAAUCCAACAACUCUGUUACCACCCCUCAAGACAUUCAGAAGAAGGAGCUGUUGUUCCUGAAGGCAAAUCCCUAGAAGGAUGUCUGAACAUGCUUAGAGGCAAAACAGUAUGCUUUGAAGAAAUGUCUAACUUCUGAAAGGGUCUUCUUUGAAGGAGGCUACAUUAAUUUAUAUGCAGACCUGGAACUAAGAGAUUAAAAGUAGACAAGGUACAAGUUGCUAAGGGUAAGGUUAUGGUGCACAAUGAGGGAUAAUUCAUAAUAUUACUUUUUAAAAACUGAGCAUUUUUAAUUCCAGAAAAUCCAGAUGCAGAAUUUUCAUGAAACAGAAUUCUCCAUUGAUUUUGUGAAAAGUUGUGUGGAUUGCAGUGAAGAUUCAAAGCCUACAGUGAAUAGUAAUCUACAAGGGACAGAAUUUUUAAAACCUGUGUAGUGCCCACAAAUACUUCAUUUCACUUAUUCACAUGGAUAUUUUCCAAUGUGUUUGCAACACCCAGAAUAAAAAAAAAUCAUAUCACA